Long non-coding RNA from Cebus imitator (Panamanian white-faced capuchin), 1948 nucleotides. RefSeq lists it as uncharacterized. The record is from RefSeq and is a predicted model, not a curated record. The transcript has 3 exons. NCBI's taxonomy places the organism in Eukaryota, Metazoa, Chordata, Mammalia, Primates, Cebidae.
AGUGACAGAGAAGUUGGGUUAACAUUCUUACUCAAAAGUGCUUAUAUCUCAAAAUUGAUGGCAUUGCUAUGUUCAGUACAACUUACUGUAUUUUAUUUAUUUUCUUCCUAAAUUUAGGUUUCUCUCUAAGAUCCUAAAGCAAAGCAAAAGCCUACAGUGUGGAAUUUAACUCUCUGCUCCUUUACUGUUUGGAUGAGAGACUGCUAUUCUUUACUAGCCAUUCAUGUCAAACCAAGGGCUCUGAGCCAAGAGGAAAUACCGGCACCAGUCCAGUUCAGGUUUUCAAAGCCUGGACGUGAACACCAAGUUUCUGGAGAACAUGGGUCAUCCACUAAGAUAAUGGCUCCCUGAAGUAGCAACUGAUUCACUAGGGAAAGAAUGCAAUUCCUCUUGUCAGUGCUGAUAGGACAGAUAAGUACUAGAUGUACAGGGAUAUCUUGCUACAAUGGUAGGUUUUACAGCAUACUUUAAAAAUAAGAGAUCUUGCCACUAAUAGAGUGACUCAGGGCUCCACCCCUUUGCAGCUGACAUAUAGUCUGUGGAGCCAGAAUGCUCCCCUAUUGCCUGUUUGAUCAUACGCUGAGAACAAGAGACCUAAGGCAAGCACAUCAGCAGGCAUGAGAGUCUUUUUUGGAAAUUCAGUGGGAGAAAAGAGACAUUUAUAAGAAAACCAGCUUUGCCCUGAGUUGACCUCUCAGGAGAAUUCUUGCCACAACCUUCCCUUCCUACUCAGCAAAGAAAAUAUCCAGGAAAGAGCUUGGGAUGCUUUCUGGCCUCAGACAAAGUCUAAGGAAGACAGCCUUGAGUGAUCAGCUUUGAACAGAUAACAUCCCGCUGUCUCAUGAGCUCCCUGGAGUACCUGGGAUGGUCACAGUGGUUUAAGUAAAAGCAUGCUACAGAAGCCACUGAAUUGAGCACAUUAAGACAAGAGGAAGGUGACAUCCCCAUCGUAGGUAAGCUGCAGAACUGCAGGCUGUACUAUGUCAGAAGCCAAAAACAGACGAUAAUUUGGGGGCACAUGGUAGGGAACCCGGAUAACUAUUCUCCAACAGUUCAACUGGUUGUUCAUUCCUUCUUGCUUGCUUCGUGUGCUGCUUUAGCGUUACACAAUAGUUUCUUCCCAGUGUCCGCCUUUUCAGGUCACGGCCUAAUUACAAUUACAUGCAAAGGAGGCUGCAGCAGCUUCAGAGGAGUUCCCUGUGGCAGCGGUUCCCGGCUCACCCUGUCAAAGUUGGGAUCGGCGUCCCCUAGCUUCAUCCACUUGUGCUUGCAGAUCUGCUCCAUGGAGAGGCGCUUAUUGGGGUCUAACACCAGCAUAUGACGGAUCAAAUGCUCACAUUCUGCAAUGGACAAACAGCCUGCCUUCAGUCUCUGAUGCCUUGAAAAUCAAGGAUGUCCUAAGAAGCUUGCUACAGAUCCCCCAGAUGUCUACAGACCCCAGAUGAAGAACUCCUGGUUACAGUGUCAAGGGCAAGAGCUUUUUAAUCUUGUCCAUCCUAUAUAACAUCCAAUGUGCCAAGGAACAGAAAUCUAACAUUUUUCAUAUGUGGCACAGAUGGAAACGAUGACAAAAUGCAGAAAGCUAGAGUAUCGUCAUCAACUCAUAAUUCCUAAGUGUCAUGUAGUUCAUUAAAUUAAAUUCAGAUGAGAUUUAAAGACACCAUUCUACAUAAAAUGUGAAAACAGGGUGAAAAUGAAGGGAACAAAUGCUCUCAAACCUAAGAACACAAUCUUAAUUUGCGGUAGCUUUGUGUUUUUUCAAAAAAAAAGAACACAAUCACCCACAGGACAUUCAAUUUACAAGUGCGGAAAGAUGGAGCCCUCGUGUCAAACAAAGCAUCAACUUUUCCUGAUGCCAAGAAGGACUUUAUUUUAUUGUCUAAAAGGGCCCUAUUGGCCAGGCAUGGUGGCUCAAGUCUAUAAUCCCAGCACUUUGGGAGGUUGAGGU